Molecule: ribosomal RNA, 869 nt
Filed under: Bacillus sp. (in: firmicutes)
Lineage: Bacteria; Bacillati; Bacillota; Bacilli; Caryophanales; Bacillaceae
Description: bacterial SSU rRNA
Source: RNAcentral
AGUCGAGCGGACAGAAGGGAGCUUGCUCCCGGAAGUUAGCGGCGGACGGGUGAGUAACACGUGGGCAACCUACCCUGUAGAUCGGGAUAACAUCGAGAAAUCGGUGCUAAUACCGGAUAAUCAUUUGAAGUGCAUGCUUCGAAUGUAAAAGAUGGCUCCGGCUAUCACUACGGGAUGGGCCCGCGGCGCAUUAGCUAGUUGGUAAGGUAAUGGCUUACCAAGGCAACGAUGCGUAGCCGACCUGAGAGGGUGAUCGGCCACACUGGGACUGAGACACGGCCCAGACUCCUACGGGAGGCAGCAGUAGGGAAUCUUCCGCAAUGGACGAAAGUCUGACGGAGCAACGCCGCGUGAGUGAUGAAGGUUUUCGGAUCGUAAAGCUCUGUUGUUAGGGAAGAACAAGUGCCGUUURAAUAAGGCGGCACCUUGACGGUACCUAACCAGAAAGCCACGGCUAACUACGUGCCAGCAGCCGCGGUAAUACGUAGGUGGCAAGCGUUGUCCGGAAUUAUUGGGCGUAAAGCGCGCGCAGGCGGUUCCUUAAGUCUGAUGUGAAAGCCCACGGCUCAACCGUGGAGGGUCAUUGGAAACUGGGGAACUUGAGUACAGAAGAGGAGAGUGGAAUUCCACGUGUAGCGGUGAAAUGCGUAGAUAUGUGGAGGAACACCAGUGGCGAAGGCGACUCUCUGGUCUGUAACUGACGCUGAGGCGCGAAAGCGUGGGGAGCAAACAGGAUUAGAUACCCUGGUAGUCCACGCCGUAACGAUGAGUGCUAGGUGUUAGGGGUUUCGAUGCCCUUAGUGCCGAAGUUAACACAUUAAGCACUCCGCCUGGGGAGUACGACCGCAAGGUUGAAACUCAAAGGAAUU